This 739-nucleotide long non-coding RNA is filed under the name Dermacentor andersoni. RNAcentral describes it as "uncharacterized LOC126529748". The record is from RNAcentral. Lineage: Eukaryota; Metazoa; Arthropoda; Arachnida; Ixodida; Ixodidae.
UCAGACUUUUUUACUAGUCCAGCUCAAUCACUAGAAUUAUGUUACCUGCUACAAGUAAUUUUUAGCAAUUAUUUGUAGUAAAGAAAAGGCACCCGGUAUGAAUGUCAAGAGAAAGGUUUAUCCAAGUUUUCGGUGCUUUUUAAUAUUUUCUCGGAGUACUAGUGGCAAAAAGAAAUAAGGGUUCUCUAUCUUAAAGUUGCAAAUUUGUAUGAAAACCAUGUGUCUUGCAAAUAGAUCUUAUUUAAUUUUGCAUGCUUACAUGAAGUGGAAUGAAUGUUGCAUGUGAAUGAAAUUGAAAGAGGCUACACCAUUUUCUUAAUACAGCCCUUGGAGCUGAUUUGCCCACUGACAAAGAUGAAGAAAUGGCCAUGCGAAGUGCGACACCCUUGGCACAAACUACUGACAGUCUGCACUCAAAAAGGCCCAUUGAGGCCCUCAUAGAGGAACCAGCUUCAGUGAUAACUGCAAGUGGAGCUGGUGACAAACCAUCUGUGACAGGUAGCCAUGUUUGCAUGUUUCAAUUGUAGGAAAGUUCUAGCACUGCACCCUUCGCAAAUGUUGUAAAUAUUUUUCAGGGGAGGACUUCGGGUAUUUGCGGAAUGGCUCUGUAAGUAUAAAUUUUGCAUCUAAUCUGGGAAGUUCUAGCACCCUAUGAUCAAAACAAGCAGGUUAUGUUUGAAAGUAAUGAAUGCAAGUGGGCAAACAGUAAAGGUUAUAAUAUCCAAUCUGUAGAUGCCAA